GAAUCAGGCUAGUCUGUCCCCAACCUCAUACGGGAAUAGUAGUGCGCGUCGGAAAAGUAAAAGUAAAUUGAAAAAUUGACACAGUUUAGUAAAGAAGAUUUCUCUAGUAGUGCUGUUCAGAAAGUUAGUGGUCGAAAGUUAAAAGUGCUAGUUCGACAAAAUAGCAAUAGUACGGGAAAGAUUAAAGCUAUUGUAGUACGAGUACGUUUGACCACAAUUGUGAUAAGAGAUUCAUUUGUUAUAAAAAAAACCAUCAAACUCAAAAAGGAAAAGGUCCGUAUAGGGGCCUUUUCUUUUCUUUGUGCUUGGCAGAGUAAUACGGAGUUCGGUGGCCUUCUGUAGCAGUGCACGUGUUUCCCGUUCGUCGAAUCGAGGUCUGUGACAGACGUUGGGUCUUCCUUCGCCCUGCAAGCGGCCAUUUUGUCAACCCGGUGGCCCAAGGCCGGCCGACUAAUCCGCCAUCGCUGUGAGCCAAACGUGCGUCGAUCUCGUGGCCAUUCAUCUACUUCGGUGUCACACCGCAAGCACCUUCGUCUUCUGCCGAGCCAAGGAACGGUUCGAUUACCUCGUCCCGGAAGCUGUCCGAAGCCACAUUCCGACCUCUACAGACUAUCAUCGAGUCGCCACCAACGGCAAGCAACCGACGGAGGCUAAGGAACGAACCGCACAUCCCUUCUACGGUGAGAGCAGCCCACGAAGAUACCGGAGGCGAACCAGUAAGCAUUCCGUGGCCCUCGCUGUACCACGGCGUGCCGAAGUCUCAACACUACAACGAACCAGACCGAAAAGCAGCCCGGCCAUCGAAAAGUCGGACCCCUGAAUGCCAGCAGCUACCUACCACCAACCGCCCAGUAAUCGCAUGCAAUCGUCAACCGAAACUCGAUGCCCGAGGAGACCAGAAAGUGAUGAGUACCCCUAUGUUGUAGUGACGUCACAGUAGAUAAGGCCGAUGUAGGCCAAUAAAUAGCAUGUAAAACCGAAAUCUUUGUGUAGGUAGCAU
Molecule: long non-coding RNA, 1000 nt
Organism: Armigeres subalbatus
Lineage: Eukaryota; Metazoa; Arthropoda; Insecta; Diptera; Culicidae
Exons: 3
Source: RefSeq, a predicted model, not a curated record